This 2038-nucleotide long non-coding RNA is filed under the name Capsicum annuum. RNAcentral describes it as "long non-coding RNA (CANN_LNC009765)". The record is from RNAcentral. Lineage: Eukaryota; Viridiplantae; Streptophyta; Magnoliopsida; Solanales; Solanaceae.
GUGGAACUUCAGAACGUCCAUAUCAACUAUGUGGAGUUCUUUUGUGUGGAAGAAAUAUUGCAAGAAGUUGUAUCCUUUAUUAACUAAAGGAACUAGAGCAUCACAUCUAUGGAGAAAAAUGAUUUCUAUAAGAGAGGAGGUGAAACAUAAUAUAUAGAGGCAGGUAAAAACUUGUAAUUUAAGUUUUUGAUAUGAUAAUUGGACAAAAUAAAGUACUUUGUAUUAUGUGGAAGGGGAGACAUUUCAAGAUGAGAAAAUAGAGGUGAAGAAUUUUAUCAGAAAUGGAGAGUGGGGCAAAUAAUUGUUGUUAUCAUAUUUAUCUGAAGAGAUGGUUGAUUUGAUUUUAGAAAUUGUAAAGCCUAUACUAGAGAAACAUCAGAAUGAUAAACUAUGGUGGAUGGGUAGCACAAGUGGCCAAUUUACAGUGAAGUUUGUCUGGGAGAUCAUCAAAAUGAAAAAAGAGAAAAAAAGAGAUUAAGAUUUCAUCUAGAACAAAGGUUUACUUUUUAAGUACAAUUCCUCCUUAUGAAGGGUAUAGUUGAGAAGGAUUCCUACAGAUGACAACUUAAAGAGAAUGAAGAUCUAAUUGGUAUCAAGAUGCUGGUGUUGUGAAAAUAGGAGGGAAGAGACUAUGACCCAUGUUUUACUAACAACCCCCUUGGCCUUAUGGCUUUAGAGGCUGUUUGCUCAUUUUGCAGGGAUACAGGUGGACAACAUACAAUUACAAUAGAUGAUUAUAUUAUGGUGGAAAAAGGAGUCAACAUCAAAGAUAAACAUGAUUUUCAGUGCUAUACCAGCUAUAAUCAUGUGGAACAUAUGAAAGGGGGGAAUUCUAUUAAACGUGGAGGUUCCAUUCAUUUUAAGGGAUGGUUUUGCAAGUCCAGGAGAUAAUGAAGAAGAUGAUCAAGACUUUGUAUCCAUGGAUAAAGUUGAAAUAUUGGCCAUGGCCAGAAGUGGUCAAUAAUAUGAGUACAUUUAGGCCAAAAUUGUAAUAUCAAAAGGUGUUAUGGAUGAAACCAGAAUCCAUGCAGUUAAAAUGCAACAUGGAUGAAGCUUGUAGAGAAAAUUCAGGGAUGAGUAAAUAUGGGUUUUGCAUAAGAAAAGAUAAAGGAGAUAUAGUGUAUGCUAGAGCUAAAGGCAUGGGACUGGGUACAAACACUGAAGUAGAAUAGAUUGCUAUUAAAAAGGCUUUAGAGUACUGUUAUGAGAAAGAUUUUAAAAAUUCCAUCUUACAAACUGACUCGUUAAGUCUUAAGCAAAUGAUACUAAAGCAGUGAAAAAUUUCUUGGGAGCUAGUAGUUAUUAUUGAGGAGAUUAGAUAAUUCAUUUAGAAACUAAAUAUCACUAUCACACAUAUAUUUAGGGAAGGGAACACAGUGGCCGAUUCUUUAGAAAAUAAGGUGAUGGAUGGAAAAGACAUGCAAGAAUAUCAUUCUUUUCAGGAUAUAUACUAAAUAUUAAUAAAGAUCAUAUUUCACAUAUCAGAAUAAAGACAAGAAGGAUAAUUCAAUAAUGACUAUCAGAAGCAGCAUACAUAUUUACAAUAAAGUAGCAAGUUCAAGCAUAGUUCAACAAACAAAAGAAGAGGAGAAUAAAGAGUACAGUAAAAGGAUAUUAAAAGUAUACCUGGAAGAAGUAUUAUAGCUGUGCUAACGACAGUUAGAAUUAAAAUCCUAGCUAUCAAAAAUCUUCACAAAAAAUGGAGGGGUAGGGAUUUGCUCCAGCAUCCAAAACCACCAGAUAAAGAGAAAGAGGUUUUCAUUACUCAAAACCUGGGUGAACUGGAAGUAGUUUGGCUAUGUGAGAGAUACCCAAGACCACCUGUACACAGAAAGGAAAUAUCAGAUUGGAAAUGACCAGUACCUGAUAGAAGUGAAGCUGAUAGAAAAAGUUCAGUUAAGAUCCACUAUUGAUUCAGCUGGUACAGAGCCCAGAGAAGGAGAAAUUGAAGCUUUGAAUUUAUCUGCAGCACUCCGGCGGCAUUAUUGCAAACAACUUUAAAAGAAAGGGAAGGGAACUUUGUACUCUUGUCUCAAAC